RNAcentral lists this ribosomal RNA (481 nucleotides) under uncultured bacterium. RNAcentral's name for it is "partial 16S ribosomal RNA". It matches the Rfam family "Bacterial small subunit ribosomal RNA", at positions 28 to 523 of the family's 1533-position model. The record is from RNAcentral.
GACGAAUGCUGGCUGCGUGCUUAACACAUGCAAGUCGAACGGUGAAGGGGAGCUUGCUCCCCGGAUCAGUGGCGAACGGGUGAGUAACACGUGGGCAACCUGCCCCUCACUCUGGGAUAACUCCGGGAAACCGGGGCUAAUACCGGAUACGACCGGGAGCGACAUCGCUCCUGGUGGAAAGAACUUCGGUGAGGGAUGGGCCCGCGGCCUAUCAGCUAGUUGGUGGGGUAACGGCCCACCAAGGCGACGACGGGUAGCCGGCCUGAGAGGGCGACCGGCCACACUGGGACUGAGACACGGCCCAGACGCCUACGGGAGGCAGCAGUGGGGAAUAUUGCGCAAUGGGCGAAAGCCUGACGCAGCGACGCAGCGUGAGGGACGAAGGCCUUCGGGUUGUAAACCUCUUUCAGCGGGGACGAAGCGAAAAUGACGGUACCCGCAGAAGAAGCACCGGCUAACUACGUGCCAGCCGCCGCCGUAA